Molecule: long non-coding RNA, 6358 nt
Filed under: Homo sapiens (human)
Lineage: Eukaryota; Metazoa; Chordata; Mammalia; Primates; Hominidae
Description: HSALNT0278959
Source: RNAcentral
AUGAUAAGAAUACAAUUAGCUUUAGAAGAAACUGCCAAACUGUCUUCCAAAGUGGCUGCACCAUUUUACAUUCCCACCAGCAAUGAGUGAGAGUUCCUGUUGCUCCACAUCCUCAUCAGUAUUUGGUGGUGUUGGUGUUUUGGAUUUUGGCCAUUCUAUUUUUAAUUUUGUAAAUAUUUUUUAAAUUUUUGUGGGUAUAUAUGUGUAUAUAUUUAGGGGUACAUAAGAUGUUUUGAUACAGACAUGUAAUGUGAACUAAGCACAUCAUGGAGAAUGGGGUGUCCACCCCUCAAGCAUUUAUCCUUUGAGUUACUAACAAUCCAAUUACAUUAUUUUAAAAUAUACAAUUGUUGUUAUUGACUAUAGUCACCAUGUUGUGAUAUCAAAUAGUAGGUCUUAUUCAUUCUUUCUAUUUUUUUGUACCUAUUUACCAUCCCCACCUUCCCACACAACCCUCCACUACCAUUUCCAGCCUCUGGUCAUCAAACAUCUGUUCUCCAUGUCCACUAGUUCAACUGUUUUGAUUUUUAGAUCCCACAAAAAAGUGAGAACAUGCAAUGUUUGUCUUUCUGUUCCCGGAUUAUUUCACUUAACAUAAUGACCUCCAGUUCCAUCCAUGUUGUUGUAAAUGAUGGGAUCUCAUGCUUUUUUAUGGCUGAAUAGUACUCCAUUGUGUAUAUGUACCAUAUUUUAUUUAUCCAUUCAUCUGUUGGACAGACACUUGGAUUGCUUCCAAAUCUUGGCUAUUGUAAACAGUGUUGCAAUAAACAGGAGUGCUGAUACCUCUUCCAUACACUGAUUUCCCUUCUUUUGGAGAUUUUAUAUAUAUAUAGUGGGACUGCUGGAUCAUAUGGUAGCUCAAUUUUUAGUUUUUUGAGGAUCUUCCAAGCUGUUCUCCACAGUGGUUGUAGUUAAUUACAUUCCUACCAAUAGUGUACAAGGGUUCCCUUUUCUCCUCAUCCUUGCCAGCAUUUGUUAUUGCCUGUCCCUUGGAUAUAAUCUAUUUUAACUGGCAUAAGAUGAUAUCUCAUUGUAUUAAUAGUUUUGAUUUGCAUUUAUCUGACAUCAGUGGUGCUAAGCACUUUUUCAUAAGCCUGUAUGACAUUUGUAUGUAUGGCUUCUUUUGAGAAAUGUAUAUUCAAAUCUUUUGCCCAUUUUUGAUCAGAUCAUUAGAUUUUUUUCCUGUAGAGUUGUUUGAGCUCCUUAUACACUCUGGUUAUUAAUCCCUUGUCAGAGGAGUAGUUUGCAAAUAUUUUCCCCCAUUCUGUGGAUCGUUUCUUCACUUUAUUGGUUGUUUGCUGUGCAGAAGCUUUUUAACUAAUGUGAUCUCAUUUGUCCAUGUUUGCUUUUGUUGUCUGUGCUUGUGGGGUAUUACUCAAGAAAUCUUUGCCCAGAUCAAUGUCCCGGAGAUGUUCCCCAAUGUUUUCCUGUAGUAGUUUCAUAGUUUGAGGUCUUAGAUUUAAGACUGUAUUUUUUUUAUUUUUGUAUAUGACAAGAGAUACAGGUCUAGUUUCAUUCUUCUGUAUAUGGAGAUUCAGCUUUCCCAGCACCAUUUAUUGAAGAGACUAUCUUUUCCCCAGUAUUUUUGGCACCUUUGUCAAAAAUGAUUUCACUGUAGGUGUGUGGAUUUGUUUCUGGGUUCUCUGUUCUGUUCCAUUGGUCUAUGUGUCUGUUUUUAUGCCAGUACCAUGCUGUUCUGGUUACUAUAGCUCUACAGUAUAAUUUGAAGUCAGGUAAUGUGAUUCCUCCUGUUUUGUUCUUUUCACUUAGGCUAGCUUUGGCUAUUCUGGGUCUCUGUGGUUCCAUAUAAAUUUUAGGAUUGUUUUUUCUAUUUCCGUGAAGAAUGUCUUUGGUAUUUUGAUAGGGAUUUUAUUGAAUCUGUAGACUGCUUUGGGUAGUAUGUACAUUUUACCAAUAUUUAUUCUUCCAAUCCAUGAACAUGGAAUAUUUUUUCAUUUUUUGGCGUCCUCUUCAAUUUCUUUCAUCAGCAUUUUAUAGUUUUCAUUAUGGAGAUUUUUCACUUCUUUGGUUAAGUUCACUCCUAGGUAUUUAAUUUUAUGUGGCCAUGAUAAAUUAGAUUACUUUUUAAAUUUCUUUUUCACAUUGUUUGCUGUUGGCAUAUAGAAAUGCUAUUGAUUUUUGUAUGAUGAUUUGUAUCUUGCAACUGUACUGAAUUUGUUUACCAGUUCUAAUAGUUUCCUUCUGAAGUCUUUAGGUUCUUCCAAAUAUAAGAUCAUAUCAUCAACAAACAAGGAUAAUUUGACUUCUUCCUUUCCAAUUUGGAUAUUCUUUAUAUAUUUCUCUUGUCUGAUUGCUCUAGCUAGGACUUCAGUAUACUAUGUUGAAUAACAGUGGUGACAGUGGGCAUCCUUGUCAUGUUCCAGAUCUUAGAGAAAAGGCUUUCAGUUGUUCCCCAUUCAGUGUGAUACUAGCUGUGGGUCUGUAGUAUAUGGCUUUUAUUAUGUUGACGUAUAUUCCUUCCAUAUCCAGUUUUUUUUUGAAGAUUUUGAUUAUGAAAGGAUGUUGAAUUUCAUCAAAUACUUUUUCAGCAUCAAAUGAAAUAAUCAUAUGGUUUUUAUCCUUCAUUCUUUGGAUAUGAUGUACCAUGUUGAUUGAUUUGCAUAUGUUGAACCAGCCUUACAUCCCAGGGAUAAAUCACAUUUGGUCAUAAUGAAUGAUCUUUCUAACGUAUUGCUGAAUUCAGUUUGCUAGUAUUUUGUGAGGACUUCUGCAUCACUGAUACAUUGUCCAGUAGGUUUCUUUUUGAUAUGUCUUUGUUUUGGUAUCAGGGUAAUACUGGGCCUCAUAGAAAUCUGAGUUUGGAAACAUUCCCUCCUCCUCUAUUUCUUGGAAUAGUUUGAGGAGGAUUGGUAUUAGUUCUUCUUUAAAUGUUUGGCAGAAUUCAGCAGUGAAGCAAUGAGGUCCCAGGCUUUUCUUUACUGGAAGACUUUUCAUUACAGCUUCUAGCUAUGGUAAUAGAGGUUUUUUUUUUUUUUUUUUUUUUUUUUUUUUAGAUGGCGUCUCACUCUGUCACCCAGGCUGGAGGCUACAGUGUAAUGGACAGCAUGAUCUCAGCUCACUGCAACCUCUGCCUCCCAGGUUCAAGUGAUUCUCCUGCCUCAGCCUCCUGAGUUGCUGGAAUUACAGGCAUGUGCCACCACACCCAGCUAGUUUUUGUAUUUUUAGUAGAGAUGGGUUUUCACCAUGUUGGCCAGGCUGGUCUCGAACUCCUGACUUCGUGAUCUGCCCACCUCGACUUCCCAAAGUGCUGGGAUUACAGGCGUGAGCCACCAUACCCGGCCUCAUCCCCCUACUUUUUAACUUUUUGUUGUUUCUAUUUAUAUCUUAUCAUACUAUGUCUUGAAAAGUUGUUGUAGUUAUAAUUUUUUAUUGGUUCAUUGUUUAGUCUUUCUACUUAGGGUAAGAGGAGUCUACACACCCCAGUUACAUUGUCAUAAUACGUCGUGUUUUUCUGUGUACUUACUAUUACCAGUAAGUUUUUUUGCCUUCAGGUGACUAUUUAUUGCUCAUCAAUGUAAUUUUCUUUCUGGUUGAAAUACUCCCUUUAGCAUUUCUUGUAGCAUGGUCCUGGCAUUAAUGAAAUACCUCAGGUUUUGUUUGUCUAGGAAAGUCUUCAUUUCUCCUUCAUGUUUGAAGGAUAUUUUUGCUGGAUAUACUAUUUUAGGGUAAAAGUUCUUUUCCUUCAGCACUUCAAAUAUGUCAUGCUUCUCUCUCCUGGCCUGUAAGGUUUCCACUGAAAAGUCUGCUGCCAGACGUAUUAAAGCCCAACUCUAUGUUAUUUGUUUCUUUUCUCUUGUUGCUUUUAGGAUCCUUUAUCCUUGAUCUUUGGAAGUUUGAUUAUUAAAUGCCUUGAGGUAAUCAUCUUUGGGUUAAACCUGCUUGGUGUUCUAUAACCUUCUGGUUCUUGGAUAUUGAUCUCUUUCUCUGUUAUUAUCCCUUUGAAUAAACCUUCUACCCUUAUCUCUUUCUCUACCUCCUCUGUAAGGUCAAUAACUCUUAGAUUUGCCCCUUUGAGGCUAUUUUCUAGAUCGUGUAGGCAGGCUUCAUUAUUUUGUAUUCUUUUUUCUUUUGUCUCCUGCUUUUUUUUUUUUUAAAUGGAGUCUUGCUCUGUUGCCCAGGCUGGAGCGCAGUCGCACAAUCUCGGCUCACUGUAACCUCCACCUCCUGAGUUCAAGCAAUUCUCCUGCCUCAGCCUCCCGAGUACCUGGGACUACAGGUGCCCACCACCAUGCCCGGCCAAUUUUUUUGUAUUUUUAGUAGAGAUGGGGUUUCACCCUAUUGGCCAUGCUGGUCUCGAACUCCUGACCUUGUGAUCCACCUGCCUUGGCCUCCCCAGAGUGCUGGGAUUACAGGCAUGAGCCACCGCCCCUGGCCUCCUGUGUAUUUUUAAACAGGCUGUCUUCAAGUUCACUAAUUCUUUCUUCUGCUUGAACCAUUUUGCUAUUAAAGGAAGCUGAUGCAUUUUUCAGUAGGCCAAUUGCAUUUUUCAGCCCCAGAAUUUCUGCGAAUCACUUUUUAAUUAUUUCAAGCUGUUAAAUUUAUCUGAUAGAAUUCUGAAUUCCUUAUGUUAUCUUGAAUUUCUUUGAGUUUCCUCAAUUUAGCUAUUUUGAAUUCUCUGUCUGAAAGGUGACAUAUCUGUUUCUCCAGGAUUGGUCCCUGGUGCCUUAUUUAGUUCACUUGGUGGGGUCAUGUUUUCCUGGUUGGUGUUGAUGCUAGCAGAUGUUCUUUGAUGUCUGGGUAUCGAAGUGUUACAUAUUUGUUGUAGUCUUCACUGUCUGAGCUUAUUUGUAGCCAUCCUUCUUGGCAAGGCUUUCGAGUUAUUUGAAAGGACUUGGGUGUUAUGAUCUAAGUCAUUUCUCUUUUACGGAGCACCCCAACCCAGUAACACUGCGGUUCUUGCAGACUUAUAGAGGUACCAGCUUGAUGGUCUUGGAUAAGACACAGAACAAUUCUCUGGAUUACCAGGCAGAGACUCUUGUUCUCUUCCCUUACUUUCUCCCAAAUGCACAGUCUCUGUCUCAAUUCUGAGCCACCUAAAGCCUUCAGGGCAGUGGGCUCCCCUCUGGAACAGGGCAAGCCCAGAAAUGCCAUCCAAGAGUCAAGUCCUAGAACUGGGGACUCAAAGAGCUCACUUGAUGCUUUAACUCCCUGUGGCAGUGUUGGUACCUAAAGCCAGCAAGUCUCAGAGGCUCACCACGGCCCUUGAUAUAGUACCUGGGUAUCACUGCUGGUUAUUCAGGGCCCAAGGGCUCUUCAGUUAGCAGGUGAUGAAUGCUGACAGGACUGGGUCCUUUCCUUCAGGGCAGUGGAUUCCCUUCUGGUCUAGGGUGUGUCUGAUUUUUGGCUCUUACGAAGGCUGUUUUUUCUGUGUAGGUAGUUGUUAACUUGGCAUCCUUGUGUGAGGGGACGAUUGAUUGGUGGAGAUUUCUAUUCUGCCACCUUGCUCUGCCUCUCCUGCUUCUAUCAGAUUUUGGCCAUUCUGUGGGUAGUGGUAUUUCAUUGUUGAGCAUAUUUUGCAAUAUGCUAAGCAUAUUUUUGUGUGCUUAUUUGCUAUCUGGGUAUCUUCUUGGGUGAGUUGUCCAGAUCUUUUGCCCAUUUUAAAGUUGGGCUGUUUGUUUUUUAUUGUUAAGAGUUCUUUUUAAAUUUUAGAGAGCAGUUCUUUAUCAGGUAUGUCUUUUGCAAUUAUUUUCUCCCACUCUAUGGCUUGAUUUUGGUUCUCUUGAUGCUUGUAAUAUUUAAAAUAUCUUCAGCAUCUGCAGUUUCACCUCCCUUCAUUAUUACAGUUGGAUUUUAAUCCUUAGGAGUUUAUCUAUUUGUCAUUCAACAAACAUUAUUCAGCUCGGCUAGGACCGACCACACCCAGUGUGGGCAAGGAUGUGGAGAAACGAGAACCAUCGACCUGCCAGUGGAAAUGUAAGCUGGAAAAGGUGCUUUGUAAAAUCAUUUCUCAUGAUCUAUUAGAGGGAAGGAUGCAUGCCCUAUGGCUCUGCAAUUCCGCUUCUAGGGGAAAGAAAACCACAGAACGGGGGCACGUGUCCACCGAGAGACAGGCACGCAGAUAUUCAGAGGGGCAUUGUUUAUAACGCCCCCAAACUGGACACAAUCCAAAUGUCCAGCAGGAGUAGAAGGGACAAAUUGCAAUCUAUCCAUGUCAUGGAAAACUUUACAGCAAUGGAAAAGAAGAAACCAUGCUUAAUACCACACAGAUACUCCCACAAACAGAAAGUUGAAGCCAGGCGUGGUGGCUCACACCUGUAAUCCCAGCACUUUGGGAGGCCGAAGCGGGCGGAUCACGAGGUCAGGAGAUGGAGACCAUCCCGGCUAACAUGGUGAAACC